This 1202-nucleotide ribosomal RNA is filed under the name metagenome. RNAcentral describes it as "bacterial SSU rRNA". It matches the Rfam family "Bacterial small subunit ribosomal RNA", at positions 239 to 1453 of the family's 1533-position model. The record is from RNAcentral.
GAUGAGGUUGUUGGCGGGGUAACGGCCCACCAAGCCUACGAUCAGUAGGGGUUCUGAGAGGAAGGUCCCCCACAUUGGAACUGAGACACGGUCCAAACGCCUACGGGAGGCAGCAGUGAGGAAUAUUGGUCAAUGGACGGAAGUCUGAACCAGCCGAGUAGCGUGCAGGAUGACGGCCCUAUGGGUUGUAAACUGCUUUUAUGUGGGAAUAAAGUGAGGGACGUGUCCCUUUUUGUAGGUACCACAUGAAUAAGGACCGGCUAAUUCCGUGCCAGCAGCCGCGGUAAUACGGAAGGUCCGGGCGUUAUCCGGAUUUAUUGGGUUUAAAGGGAGCGUAGGCCGUCUUUUAAGCGUGUUGUGAAAUACUGUCGCUCAACGACAGAGGUGCAGCGCGAACUGGGAGACUUGAGUGCGCGGAAUGCAGGCGGAAUUCGUCGUGUAGCGGUGAAAUGCUUAGAUAUGACGAAGAACUCCGAUUGCGAAGGCAGCUUGCAGUAGCGUAACUGACGCUGAAGCUCGAAAGUGCGGGUAUUGAACAGGAUUAGAUACCCUGGUAGUCCGCACGGUAAACGAUGGAUGCUCGCUGUGUGCCCCUGGGUACGCGGCCAAGCGAAAGCGUUAAGCAUCCCACCUGGGGAGUACGCCGGCAACGGUGAAACUCAAAGGAAUUGACGGGGGCCCGCACAAGCGGAGGAACAUGUGGUUUAAUUCGAUGAUACGCGAGGAACCUUACCCGGGCUUGAAUUGCAGGAGAACGAUACAGAGAUGUUGAGGUCCUUCGGGACUCCUGUGAAGGUGCUGCAUGGUUGUCGUCAGCUCGUGCCGUGAGGUGUCGGCUUAAGUGCCAUAACGAGCGCAACCCCUCUCCGUAGUUGCCAUCAGGUGAUGCUGGGCACUCUGCGGACACUGCCGCCGUAAGGUGUGAGGAAGGUGGGGAUGACGUCAAAUCCGCACGGCCCUUACGUCCGGGGCUACACACGUGUUACAAUGGCAGGUACAGAGAGCCGGUCGUAUGCAAAUACGAUCCAAUCCUUAAAGCCUGUCUCAGUUCGGACUGGGGUCUGCAACCCGACCCCACGAAGCUGGAUUCGCUAGCGAUCGCGCAUCAGCCAUGGCGCGGUGAAUACGUUCCCGGGCCUUGUACACACCGCCCGUCAAGCCAUGAAAGCCGGGGGCGCCUGAAGUCCGUGACCGCAAGGAGC